AUUGAACGCUGGCGGAAUGCUUUACACAUGCAAGUCGAGCGGCAGCACGGGGGCAACCCUGGUGGCGAGCGGCGAACGGGUGAGUAAUACAUCGGAACAUGCCCAGUCGUGGGGGAUAACACUUCGAAAGAAGUGCUAAUACCGCAUCCGUCCUGAGGGAGAAAGCGGGGGAUCGCAAGACCUCGCGCGAUUGGAGUGGCCGAUGUCAGAUUAGCUAGUUGGUGGGGUAAAGGCCUACCAAGGCAACGAUCUGUAGCUGGUCUGAGAGGAUGAUCAGCCACACUGGGACUGAGACACGGCCCAGACUCCUACGGGAGGCAGCAGUGGGGAAUUUUGGACAAUGGGGGCAACCCUGAUCCAGCCAUUCCGCGUGAGUGAAGAAGGCCUUCGGGUUGUAAAGCUCUUUCGGCAGGAACGAAACGGUGAGCUCUAACAUAGCUCGCUAAUGACGGUACCUGAAGAAGAAGCACCGGCUAACUACGUG
This 484-nucleotide ribosomal RNA is filed under the name uncultured bacterium. Its description in RNAcentral is "partial 16S ribosomal RNA". It matches the Rfam family "Bacterial small subunit ribosomal RNA", at positions 30 to 507 of the family's 1533-position model. The record is from RNAcentral.